RNAcentral lists this unclassified non-coding RNA (347 nucleotides) under soil metagenome. RNAcentral's name for it is "partial contains 5.8S ribosomal RNA, internal transcribed spacer 2, and large subunit ribosomal RNA". The stretch from base 1 to 120 matches the Rfam family "5.8S ribosomal RNA", at positions 35 to 154 of the family's 154-position model. The record is from RNAcentral.
GAUGAAGAACGCAGCGAAAUGCGAAAAGUAAUGUGAAUUGCAGAAUUCAGUGAACCAUCGAAUCUUUGAACGCACAUUGCGCCCGCUGGAACUCCGGCGGGCACGCCUGUCCGAGCGUCAUUUCAACCCUCAGGCCCCCCUUCGCGGGCGGGCCUGGUGUUGGGGCCCGGCCGCUACCCUGCGGCCGUCCCCUAAAUCCAGUGGCGGCCUCGCCGUGAUCCCUUGCGUAGUAAUGCACCUCGCACCGGAGAGCGCCGUGGCCACGCCGUAAAACCCCCAAUUUUCAAUGGUUGACCUCGGAUCAGGUGGGAAUACCCGCUGAACUUAAGCAUAUCAAUAAGCGGAGA